RNAcentral lists this ribosomal RNA (498 nucleotides) under uncultured bacterium. Its description in RNAcentral is "partial 16S ribosomal RNA". It matches the Rfam family "Bacterial small subunit ribosomal RNA", at positions 899 to 1397 of the family's 1533-position model. The record is from RNAcentral.
ACUCAAAGGAAUAGACGGGGACCCGCACAAGCGGUGGAUGAUGUGGUUUAAUUCGAUGCAACGCGAAAAACCUUACCCACCUUUGACAUGUACGGAACUUACCAGAGAUGGUUUGGUGCUCGAAAGAGAGCCGUAACACAGGUGCUGCAUGGCUGUCGUCAGCUCGUGUCGUGAGAUGUUGGGUUAAGUCCCGCAACGAGCGCAACCCUUGUCAUUAGUUGCUACAUUCAGUUGGGCACUCUAAUGAGACUGCCGGUGACAAACCGGAGGAAGGUGGGGAUGACGUCAAGUCCUCAUGGCCCUUAUAGGUGGGGCUACACACGUCAUACAAUGGCUGGUACAGAGGGUUGCCAACCCGCGAGGGGGAGCUAAUCCCAUAAAGCCAGUCGUAGUCCGGAUCGCAGUCUGCAACUCGACUGCGUGAAGUCGGAAUCGCUAGUAAUCGCGGAUCAGAAUGUCGCGGUGAAUACGUUCCCGGGUCUUGUACACACCGCCCGU